UAUUUCAUUUUCUUUUAGCAUUUUAUUUUUUUAGUAUUUUAUUGUCUUUUAGCAUUUUGUUUCUUUUAAUAUUUUUUUUUAUGUCCAUGUUUCUUUAUUAAAUUCGUCAUGCAUGCAAAACCAUUUUAAAACUAUAAAAAUCAUUUCUUUUCUCGAUUCAAUAUCGAGCCCAUUUCCACACCCUUGUAAGUCGAUUGCUUUUUUAAGCAUCGCCAUCAACCUCACAUAGCUUACUCUUGGGCUUUCUUACAAUGAGCCGGUUCUCUUGCACUUACACUCAUAUUUCGCAUCAUUUGUUGUUUGGGCCCGAUUUAAUUAUUUCAUGAUUUUUGAAUCCCCAUGUGACAAAAUGUACCCCACUUCCCCAAUGUGUAUAUAAUUUUGUCUUUGUUUUAUUUCUCUAUUUUAGAUACUAACACAAGAUUAAAAUUAACCAUUUCUAAAAAUACAAAAAAAAUAUGACUCGAUCCA
RNAcentral lists this long non-coding RNA (471 nucleotides) under Lathyrus oleraceus (garden pea). RNAcentral's name for it is "Pisum sativum (pea) long non-coding RNA (PSAT_LNC035590)". The record is from RNAcentral. Lineage: Eukaryota; Viridiplantae; Streptophyta; Magnoliopsida; Fabales; Fabaceae.